RNAcentral lists this unclassified non-coding RNA (153 nucleotides) under uncultured Coniochaeta. RNAcentral describes it as "partial internal transcribed spacer 2". Lineage: Eukaryota; Fungi; Ascomycota; Sordariomycetes; Coniochaetales. The record is from RNAcentral.
CAACCCUCAAGCUCUGCUUGGUGUUGGGGCCCUACGGCUGCCGUAGGCCCUGAAAAGAAGUGGCGGGCUCGCUACAACUCCGAGCGUAGUAAUUCUUUAUCUCGCUAGGGAAGUGUGGCUUGCUCCUGCCGUUAAAGACCCCAUCUUUAACAA